UGCUAGGCGCGUGCCGGCGC
RNAcentral lists this unclassified non-coding RNA (20 nucleotides) under Chlamydomonas reinhardtii. RNAcentral's name for it is "small RNA Cre_3154". The record is from RNAcentral. Lineage: Eukaryota; Viridiplantae; Chlorophyta; Chlorophyceae; Chlamydomonadales; Chlamydomonadaceae.